Molecule: transfer RNA, 74 nt
Filed under: Apophlaea sinclairii
Lineage: Eukaryota; Rhodophyta; Florideophyceae; Hildenbrandiales; Hildenbrandiaceae
Description: tRNA-Pro
Rfam family: tRNA
About the family: Transfer RNA (tRNA) molecules are approximately 80 nucleotides in length. Their secondary structure includes four short double-helical elements and three loops (D, anti-codon, and T loops).
Source: RNAcentral
CGGGAUAUAGCGCAGUUUGGUAGCGUGUCUGUUUUGGGAACAGGAUGUCGUAGGUUCAAAUCCUUCUAUCCCGA